CCCUUCAGAGGGGGACAACAGUUGGAAACGACUGCUAAUACCGCAUACGAUCUGACCUCGGCAUCGAGGAUAGAUGAAAGGUGGCCUCUACAUGUAAGCUAUCACUGAAGGAGGGGAUUGCGUCUGAUUAGCUAGUUGGAGGGGUAACGGCCCACCAAGGCGAUGAUCAGUAGCCGGUCUGAGAGGAUGAACGGCCACAUUGGGACUGAGACACGGCCCAG
RNAcentral lists this ribosomal RNA (221 nucleotides) under uncultured bacterium. RNAcentral's name for it is "partial 16S ribosomal RNA". It matches the Rfam family "Bacterial small subunit ribosomal RNA", at positions 129 to 334 of the family's 1533-position model. The record is from RNAcentral.